GGAUUAUUGGGCGUAAGCGCGCGUAGGCGGUUUCUUAAGUCUGAUGUGAAGCCCACGGCUCAACCGUGGAGGGUCAUUGGAAACUGGGAAACUUGAGUGCAGAAGAGGAGAGUGGAAUUCCAUGUGUAGCGGUGAAAUGCGCAGAGAUAUGGAGGAACACCAGUGGCGAAGGCGGCUCUCUGGUCUGUAACUGACGCUGAUGUGCGAAAGCGUGGGGAUCAAACAGGAUUAGAUACCCUGGUAGUCCACGCCGUAAACGAUGA
This 263-nucleotide ribosomal RNA is filed under the name Mammaliicoccus sciuri. RNAcentral's name for it is "Staphylococcus sciuri partial 16S ribosomal RNA". It matches the Rfam family "Bacterial small subunit ribosomal RNA", at positions 548 to 812 of the family's 1533-position model. The record is from RNAcentral. Lineage: Bacteria; Bacillati; Bacillota; Bacilli; Caryophanales; Staphylococcaceae.